Molecule: long non-coding RNA, 779 nt
Filed under: Physcomitrium patens
Lineage: Eukaryota; Viridiplantae; Streptophyta; Bryopsida; Funariales; Funariaceae
Description: long non-coding RNA (PPAT_LNC009810)
Source: RNAcentral
GGGUAACAAUUUUAUAUAUAUAAACUCCUCUCCUUUGGAGCAAUUACAUCAAUAUACAAACCUUAAAAUCCAAAGAACACCAAAAUACUUGAUAAGGUGUUAUAAAAAACUUAUAUAUCCUUAUGAGGAAUUUUUCCCGAAGUUCAACAGCUCAUAACUUACGAUCUAACCGUCUAAACAACUCCAAAUUUUACAUGAAGUACUGAUAUAUCUUUAGCAACUACCACACCAAAAUUCAACCGUAAAUUCAUCUUGGAUCUUGUGAUAUCUUGAAAAUCCUAACUGUAGCUUCAAACCCUAGCUUUUUUACACCCGUGUACAACUUCCUUUAUAUCUCACAAAGUAAUUAUUCAAAUACUAUGAAACUUUGAUUUAAAGCUUCUAACCCAAUUACACACACUUGUGGAAAUUUUGAGCCAAAAAUUCGUCCAGAAACUCAAGAUAUGGCUUCACCCAUAACUAGCAACAAAACGAUAUACUUACUGCCUUCAAAUUACAAGUGCUGUCUUCAACGCCUCAUAACUCCUUCACCCAAUUUUAUAAUUUACUAUACAGUAAGUAGAAUGUGUAGCCGAGAAAAUGCUCCCUCCAAAUCCAGUCGCCGAUCUUCCGUUGCUCUCCGUAUUCGUAUGUGAUGCCCAAAAGAAGUGACAGUAGGUACAAAAUUGACACCUUAUCUUUGAACAUUCAUAUCUUUUCCAUAAAAACUCGAAAUCACACAAAAUCUUCACCCAAAUUAUACCCAAAACCCUAAACCUUCUGACCCUAGCCUCCAAAGC